AAUAGAUACCCCGGUAGUCCACGCCGUAAACGAUGAGUGCUAAGUGUUAGAGGGUUUCCGCCCUUUAGUGCUGCAGCUAACGCAUUAAGCACUCCGCCUGGGGAGUACGGUCGCAAGACUGAAACUCAAAGGAAUUGACGGGGGGCCCGCACAAGCGGUGGAGCAUGUGGUUUAAUUCGAAGCAACGCGAAGAACCUUACCAGGUCUUGACAUCCUCUGACAACUCUAGAGAUAGAGCGUUCCCCUUCGGGGGACAGAGUGACAGGUGGUGCAUGGUUGUCGUCAGCUCGUGUCGUGAGAUGUUGGGUUAAGUCCCGCAACGAGCGCAACCCUUGAUCUUAGUUGCCAGCAUUUAGUUGGGCACUCUAAGGUGACUGCCGGUGACAAACCGGAGGAAGGUGGGGAUGACGUCAAAUCAUCAUGCCCCUUAUGACCUGGGCUACACACGUGCUACAAUGGAUGGUACAAGGGCUGCAAGCCGCGAGUCAAGCCAAUCCCAUAAAACCAUUCUCAGUUCGGAUUGU
This 524-nucleotide ribosomal RNA is filed under the name uncultured bacterium. RNAcentral's name for it is "bacterial SSU rRNA". It matches the Rfam family "Bacterial small subunit ribosomal RNA", at positions 777 to 1301 of the family's 1533-position model. The record is from RNAcentral.